UACGUAGGGGGCAAGCGUUGUUCGGAAUUACUGGGCGUAAAGGGCUCGUAGGCGGCCAACUAAGUCAUACGUGAAAUCCCUCGGCUUAACCGGGGAACUGCGUCUGAUACUGGAUGGCUUGAGUUCGGGAGAGGGAUGCGGAAUUCCAGGUGUAGCGGUGAAAUGCGUAGAUAUCUGGAGGAAUACCGGUGGCGAAGGCGGCAUCCUGGACCAUAACUGACGCUGAGGCGCGAAAGCUAGGGGAGCAAACGGG
Molecule: ribosomal RNA, 253 nt
Filed under: uncultured bacterium
Lineage: Bacteria
Description: partial 16S ribosomal RNA
Rfam family: Bacterial small subunit ribosomal RNA
Source: RNAcentral